GACGAACGCUGGCGGCGUGCUUAACACAUGCAAGUCGAACGGAAAGGCCCUGCUUUUGUGGGGUGCUCGAGUGGCGAACGGGUGAGUAACACGUGAGUAACCUGCCCUUGACUUUGGGAUAACUUCAGGAAACUGGGGCUAAUACCGGAUAGGAGCUCCUGCUGCAUGGUGGGGGUUGGAAAGUUUCGGCGGUUGGGGAUGGACUCGCGGCUUAUCAGCUUGUUGGUGGGGUAGUGGCUUACCAAGGCUUUGACGGGUAGCCGGCCUGAGAGGGUGACCGGCCACAGUGGGACUGAGACACGGACCAGACCCCUACGGGAGGCAGCAGUGGAGAAUAUUGCACAAUGGGCGGGAGCCAGAUGCAGCACCGCCGCGGGCGGGAUGACGGCCUUCGGGUUAUGAACCGCUUUCGCCUGUGACGAAGAGUGAGUGACGGUAAUGGGUAAAGAAGCACCGGCUAACUACGUG
Molecule: ribosomal RNA, 468 nt
Filed under: uncultured bacterium
Lineage: Bacteria
Description: partial 16S ribosomal RNA
Rfam family: Bacterial small subunit ribosomal RNA
Source: RNAcentral